GCCCAAUCCAGUAGGCUCAAUGCCCUGAGCCGUAACCUUCUGGGUCACAGUGAUUGCUUUCACAUCAGACCCAGAAUCGGAAUUGUCCGCACCAUACUGAUCCAUGUAUCAAUGAUCAUACUCCUCCUCCAAACUCUGGUCCGAAUCGGACGAGUCCUCAUGGGCACGUUCUCGCUUACAUGAUCUGGCCAAUUUUGCCCGGCCAAGGG
This is a non-coding RNA of Pelobates cultripes (western spadefoot toad), 209 nucleotides long. The record is from the annotation of a GenBank genome assembly. NCBI's taxonomy places the organism in Eukaryota, Metazoa, Chordata, Amphibia, Anura, Pelobatidae.